This 1505-nucleotide ribosomal RNA is filed under the name uncultured prokaryote. RNAcentral describes it as "partial 16S ribosomal RNA". It matches the Rfam family "Bacterial small subunit ribosomal RNA". The record is from RNAcentral.
CGCCCUUAGAGUUUGAUUAUGGCUCAGGACGAACGCUGGCGGCGUGCUUAACACAUGCAAGUCGAACGGUGAAGGUCAGCUUGCUGACUGGAUCAGUGGCGAACGGGUGAGUAACACGUGAGCAACCUACCCUUCACUCUGGGAUAAGCCUUGCUUGUGGAAACGAUAGCUAAUACCGCAUAACGUCUUCGGACCAAAGGGGGCUUUCGGGCUCCCGCGCAAAGAGUAGCCUAAGCGAGAUUAGCUUGUUGGUGAGGUAAAGGCUCACCAAGGCGACGAUCUCUAGCUGUUCUGAGAGGAAGAUCAGCCACACUGGGACUGAGACACGGCCCAGACUCCUACGGGAGGCAGCAGUGGGGAAUAUUGCACAAUGGGGGGAACCCUGAUGCAGCCAUGCCGCGUGUGUGAAGAAGGCCUUCGGGUUGUAAAGCACUUUCAGUUGUGAGGAAAGGAAGUUGGUUAAUACCCAGUUUCUGUGACGUUAGCAACAGAAGAAGCACCGGCUAACUCCGUGCCAGCAGCCGCGGUAAUACGGAGGGUGCGAGCGUUAAUCGGAAUUACUGGGCGUAAAGCGCGCGUAGGCGGUUUGUUAAGUCGGAUGUGAAAGCCCCGGGCUCAACCUGGGAAUUGCAUUCGAUACUGGCCGACUAGAGUACGAGAGAGGGAGGUAGAAUUCCACGUGUAGCGGUGAAAUGCGUAGAUAUGUGGAGGAAUACCGGUGGCGAAGGCGGCGUCCUGGCUCGAUACUGACGCUGAGGUGCGAAAGCGUGGGUAGCAAACAGGAUUAGAUCCCCUGGUAGUCCACGCCGUAAACGAUGUCUACUAGCCGUUGGGAGACUUGAUUUCUUAGUGGCGCAGCUAACGCAAUAAGUAGACCGCCUGGGGAGUACGGCCGCAAGGUUAAAACUCAAAUGAAUUGACGGGGGCCCGCACAAGCGGUGGAGCAUGUGGUUUAAUUCGAUGCAACGCGAAGAACCUUACCAGGUCUUGACAUCCUCGGAACUUUCCAGAGAUGGAUUGGUGCCUUCGGGAACUCUGUGACAGGUGCUGCAUGGCUGUCGUCAGCUCGUGUCGUGAGAUGUUGGGUUAAGUCCCGUAACGAGCGCAACCCUUGUCCUUAGUUGCCAGCGCGUAAUGGCGGGAACUCUAAGGAGACUGCCGGUGACAAACCGGAGGAAGGUGGGGACGACGUCAAGUCAUCAUGGCCCUUACGACCUGGGCUACACACGUGCUACAAUGGAACGCACAGAGGGUUGCAACCUCGCGAGGUGGAGCUAAUCUCAGAAAACUUUUCGUAGUCCGGAUUGCACUCUGCAACUCGAGUGCAUGAAGUUGGAAUCCCUAGUAAUCGCGGAUCAGAAUGCCGCGGUGAAUACGUUCCCGGGCCUUGUACACACCGCCCGUCACACCAUGGGAGUGGGUUGUACCAGAAGUGGCUAGCUUAACCUUCGGGAUGGCGGUCACCACGGUGUGAUUCAUGACUGGGGUGAAGUCGUAACAAGGUA